GUAAAGGUUUGCCCUGAAAAUGAAACUGAAGUGGAAGAAGCCUCCAAGAGACUUAAAUGUUCCUCUGGUUACGACAAGACUAAGAAUGAACAUCAUUGUGUACCAUUCUCAAAUUUCACACACCUUGUCGAGUUUUGUUAUCCAAAAACAAGUGGAUUGAUUGAACAUGGAAUUUGUAUGAUUCUUGAUGGGGACACUUUGGAUGCUCGAGAUUGCCACCGUUUUGAGAAUGGCUGUCCCGACACACAUUAUACUUCUGAAGAAAUGUACAAAUGUGAGUAGAGAUUACGCAACUUAGAAUUCGCAUAUAUGUAGAUUAUUUGGAUAUUUUUGUGUCUUUGUUGAGUUGUUUUAGAUAGAUAAUAUAUGCAUGUAAUAUGAUUUCAUAUUCCGUCCAAUGAUGAUGAAUCCCAAUGGUAUCUACCUAGAAGUUGUCAUUUAUUCUGAUUUGAUUUCUUCAUCAAUUAAAAAUGUUUGAUGUAUAAUCUUACUGUAAAUGCUUCCUACUUCCUUUUUGUUUGUAUAUCAAUAAAAAAGAUGUUAUC
This is a long non-coding RNA of Ostrea edulis (European flat oyster), 545 nucleotides long. RefSeq lists it as uncharacterized. The record is from RefSeq and is a predicted model, not a curated record. The transcript is spliced from 2 exons. Lineage: Eukaryota; Metazoa; Mollusca; Bivalvia; Ostreida; Ostreidae.